RNAcentral lists this ribosomal RNA (253 nucleotides) under uncultured bacterium. RNAcentral describes it as "partial 16S ribosomal RNA". It matches the Rfam family "Bacterial small subunit ribosomal RNA", at positions 524 to 776 of the family's 1533-position model. The record is from RNAcentral.
UACAGAGGUCUCAAGCGUCGUUCGGAUUCAUUGGGCGUAAAGGGUGCGUAGGUGGUUAGGUAAGUCGGAUGUGAAAUCCCGGGGCUCAACCUCGGAACUGCAUUCGUUACUGCUUGACUAGAGUACUGGAGAGGAGAUUGGAAUUUACGGUGUAGCAGUGAAAUGCGUAGAUAUCGUAAGGAAGACCAGCGGCGAAGGCGGAUCUCUGGACAGUUACUGACACUGAGGCACGAAGGCCAGGGGAGCAAACGGG